This is a long non-coding RNA of Oncorhynchus kisutch (coho salmon), 2758 nucleotides long. RefSeq lists it as uncharacterized. NCBI's taxonomy places the organism in Eukaryota, Metazoa, Chordata, Actinopteri, Salmoniformes, Salmonidae. The transcript has 3 exons. The record is from RefSeq and is a predicted model, not a curated record.
AGGACUCUGCCGAGCGGUUUGACCGCCUGCUGGAGGACAUCAUGAUGGGCCUAGACUUCGCCUGUGGUGGUUGCCAGGAUCAGCUCCUAGCGCCAUGGACGCUGUUACUGAGGUGACUGGUGCGGGUGACGGAAGUGCCAAGUCUUCUUCAGAAGUGGGGCUGCAGCAGCAUGUGGAGGGUGAGCUGAGUGACAUCCAGGACCACUUCCUCAGGUCGUUUGAGCAGCAGGUGGCAGCAUCCAACCCAGUGGCACAGGGAGAGUGAGAGGGGUCUCGGAGCACAGCCAGCCUCUCGGAGCCUUACACCGCUCUCAGGAACUAUAGUGGAGCCCAGAUGGUGACCAGCACAGCUGAACACAGAACUCAGAGCACUCAAGUCAGAGAAGAGCAGAGCUACACACACACAGCCUAUACACACCCUUCUUACGCUGGGCAGAGUAACACACACAUGCCUCAACCAGAACCCAGCUACACACACACAGCCCACAUAGAGCAGUGUAACGCAGUCACACACCCCGCAAACACACACCUCCCUCUCUCUCACACAUCACCUCUUCCAUACUCAACUCCUAACAGUGUCCAGCCCACCUCAGCUCUACCCCCUACCAGUCUGGGGAAGAGAGGAGGGUGAUGACCAGAAGACGGUUGCGAGGCGAUAUCAACAUCCAACCUAUAGUCAGGCCCAAGAAACAUCAUGGGGAGAGGAACAUAGACAGGACCAGACUACUAAUCAAGAAGAAGUAGAGGAUAAAGAAAGGGUACUCCAUGAAUACGAGGAACUGCUGGAUGUGGAUGAUGUGUUGCUGGGUGUGUCUGUCCGUACAGGCGAGGAGCUAUGCCAACCCGAGGAUGCUGCCAGGGAAACGCCUACCCCCCAGCAAACUGCCCAAUCAGGUCGGUCGGCUGAGAAGAUAAAAUCUCAGACCAAGGCCCGGCCAGCAGCAGUCUGACACUACCAAGAAAACCCUACCCCUAUCCAAUCCCCCGAUCAGCCCAAUCAGAACCCCAGAGAAGCUCAGAGGUCAGAGUGCCCAGCCAAUCAGACAGGGCAAGGAGGUUGUGAGGGGAGUGUCUGGGGCAGUGGCUAUUGUGAAGAGAGGGAGAGGCAGACCACCCAGAAAGAGAAAUGUCAAUGGUGUGUGUGCAAAGGUUACAUCUGCUCCAGUUCCACCAGAACAGACCAGCCUCCCCGCAGAACAGACCGGCCGAGGGGCAGAAACAAAGAAGAGUAGCAGAAGAAGAGGAGGAGGGAAGAAGCCUCAGCUGGAGUGGGAGAAAGGAUCAGACCCAGCAAGGACAAGAGAGAAGAGUAGGAGAGUAAAGGAGUCAGAGGAGGAGAGGUGGAAGGGAAGGAAGGAGACAGAGAGACCAAGUGUGCAUGUCCAGAAGUAGAAGUAGUCCCCCUGGUCCAAACGCUCUCAGAACCUCACCCUCCCAUCUCCGUUCCAGAAGCCCCAGCCUGUGGAGAGCAGGUACACCCUGAGGACAGAGAGGAGUCUGGGAAAGAAGUGACAACCUCCUCAGCCUUCCAGAAGACUAGGGAAGUCCUGCAGACACAGUGCAGAAUGAAAGAUGGAGAGGAAACGGGAUGGGCCAUUUUUAAACCACAAAAGACCGAUCAGACAGAAGAGAGGGAGACACGGAUGGACAAAAUAGAUGUUGAAGACAUCAGAGCGAUAGAUGAUUCUGAUGAAAGUAUUGAUAUAGAUGGAGAUGGAGAAAAAUGGAUGAGAGACAGAGCAGAAAAACAGACCGAACUCCACAACCCACCAAUCCAAAUCGGAGAGUGGAAGGUCACAGUUCAGAUGCAUUCUGGGAUAGUAAAGCCUCCAGUCUCCCAUCCUUCACGUUCCAUCCGAGAGGUGGACAUCGAAGGGUCAACAGGAAGCUGGGAGGAAGAGGAGGAAGUGGAUGUGUUGGGGGGCUAUAGCGCCUCCCCAGUCCCUCCUAUCAUACUGCCUGGCUCCUGGGGGAGGGGCUUGGUUCUGAGGAGGAAGAGGAGAUUGAUGUCAUUGGAGGAGAGUUGGACCACACCCCUUUUAUUGGAUAUAUGUCAUCUCUGCUCUGACUGAGUGCAUACACACGUGUGACCAACAUCUUCCCCCUGCUAGGAGACUGGGAUAUGGACAAACUGCUGUGUGUGGACAGCCGUGGCAUAACGACAAGGAAUGUACAGAUUUCUGCUUGAUGGAGAAGCAUGAUUGUGUGGUUGAGUUCCUCCAAGUUACCCAUUGUUAAACAAAAGAGGACGAAUGGAUGUUUAAAAAAAUGUGGAUGUUUUUGUUGUACCUUUUUUCUACCUCACCUUGUCUUUAGAGCUCUGUGCUUGAGUUCUAGUUUUCAGCACUUAGAUCAUCAAAUAUGAAUGUGUUUUACACUGUGGGUCAGUUGUGCUCUGUUUAAGUCUACAUCUCACUGCCCAGACCUUUACAACAUCAUUGUGUUAAAGUUUUCAAUGACCCGUGUAGAAAAACACCAGCUAUAUUUGCCUCUUGUGCAGAGGAGUUUGGGUUCAUUCAUAUACCAAAUGUUUCAUUGUGAGUUGCCAAAAAAUCAGGUUUUACACUGCUGUUAGUUCAGUUUCACAGGAAUUUGCGACUUUCAUUGGUUGAGUGUCAAUCAUCACAGGCCUACAUCUUCCAAUUCUGCUUUGGAUUGUUCUAGAAUGGAAUCACAUCAUGUUUGUCAUUAUUACUGUUCUCCCCAGGUGUUUGACUGUUUUCUGUUUAAAAAACAGAUUAAAGAUGUUCUUAACGUG